Molecule: non-coding RNA, 122 nt
Organism: Anolis sagrei ordinatus
Lineage: Eukaryota; Metazoa; Chordata; Lepidosauria; Squamata; Anolidae
Source: RefSeq, a predicted model, not a curated record
CUGCAGAAAAACAUCAAGAGGACUACAAAACAGUCUCAGGAAGUGAUCAAAAAUCCAACACUUCAAAGGAAGGAAGUGAUAAAAAAUCCAACAUUUCAAACGAAGGUAAGUUAAAACUUGUG